Podarcis lilfordi (Lilford's wall lizard) is the source of this 72-nucleotide non-coding RNA. The record is from the annotation of a GenBank genome assembly. NCBI's taxonomy places the organism in Eukaryota, Metazoa, Chordata, Lepidosauria, Squamata, Lacertidae.
GGACAUGUAGCUCAGAGGUAGAACAUUUGCCUUGCAUGCAGAAGGUCCCAGGUUCCAUCCCCAGCUUCUCCA